AGAGUUUGAUCCUGGCUCAGAGUGAACGCUGGCGGCGUGCCUAAUACAUGCAAGUCGAACGGAGAUUAAGUAGCUUGCUAUUUAAUCUUAGUGGCGCACGGGUGAGUAAUAUAUAGCUAAUCUGCCCUACACUAGAGGACAGCAGUUGGAAACGACUGCUAAUACUCUAUACUCCUUCUUUACAUAAGUUAAGUCGGGAAAGUUUUUCGGUGUAGGAUGAGGCUAUAUCGUAUCAGCUAGUUGGUAGGGUAACGGCCUACCAAGGCUAUGACGCGUAACUGGUCUGAGAGGAUGAUCAGUCACACUGGAACUGAGACACGGUCCAGACUCCUACGGGAGGCAGCAGUAGGGAAUAUUGCUCAAUGGGGGAAACCCUGAAGCAGCAACGCCGCGUGGAGGAUGACACUUUUCGGAGCGUAAACUCCUUUUCUUGGGAAAGAAUUAUGACGGUACCCAAGGAAUAAGCACCGGCUAACUCCGUGCCAGCAGCCGCGGU
This 496-nucleotide ribosomal RNA is filed under the name unidentified oral bacterium AP60-47. Its description in RNAcentral is "bacterial SSU rRNA". It matches the Rfam family "Bacterial small subunit ribosomal RNA", at positions 8 to 521 of the family's 1533-position model. The record is from RNAcentral.